Molecule: ribosomal RNA, 254 nt
Filed under: uncultured bacterium
Lineage: Bacteria
Description: partial 16S ribosomal RNA
Rfam family: Bacterial small subunit ribosomal RNA
Source: RNAcentral
UACAGGAGGGUGCGAGCGUUAAUCGGAAUUACUGGGCGUAAAGCGUGCGUAGACGGUAGCGUAAGUCAGAUGUGAAAGCCCCGGGCUCAACCUGGGAAUUGCAUUUGAGACUGCUCUGCUCGGGUGCGGAAGAGGGAAGCGGAAUUUCCGGUGUAGCGGUGAAAUGCGUAGAUAUCGGAAGGAACACCAGUGGCGAAAGCGGCUUCCUGGUCCGACACCGACGUUCAGGCACGAAAGCGUGGGGAGCAAACAGG